GACGAACGCUGGCGGCGUGCCUAACACAUGCAAGUCGAACGGGGUUAAGAGCUUCGGGUGAUCUUCUAGCGGCGGACGGGUGAGUAACGCGUGAGCAACCUUUCCUCUACUGGGGAAUAACACCGGGAAACUUGUACUAAUACCGCAUGAGACCACAGAACCGCAUGGUUUAGGGGUCAAAGAUUUAUUGCUGAGAGGUGGGCUCGCGUCUGAUUAGGUAGUUGGUGAGGUAACGGCCCACCAAGCCGACGAUCAGUAGCCGACCUGAGAGGGUGAUCGGCCACAUUGGGACUGAGACACGGCCCAAACUCCUACGGGAGGCAGCAGUGGGGAAUAUUGGGCAAUGGGGGAAACCCUGACCCAGCAACGCCGCGUGGAGGAAGAAGGUUUUCGGAUCGUAAACUCCUGUCCCUCAGGGAAGAGCAGAAGACGGUACCUGAGGAGGAAGCCCCGGCUAAACUACGUG
RNAcentral lists this ribosomal RNA (466 nucleotides) under uncultured bacterium. RNAcentral's name for it is "bacterial SSU rRNA". It matches the Rfam family "Bacterial small subunit ribosomal RNA", at positions 28 to 507 of the family's 1533-position model. The record is from RNAcentral.